Molecule: ribosomal RNA, 893 nt
Filed under: uncultured soil bacterium
Lineage: Bacteria
Description: bacterial SSU rRNA
Rfam family: Bacterial small subunit ribosomal RNA
Source: RNAcentral
AGAGUUUGAUCCUGGCUCAGAGCGAACGCUGGCGGCGUGCUUAACACAUGCAAGUCGAACGCGCAGCAUUCUGUAGCAAUACAGGGUGUGGGCGCGUGGCGAACGGGUGCGUAACACGUGGAUAACCUUCCUUGAGGUGGGGAAUAACCCAGUGAAAAUUGGGCUAAUACCGCAUAACAUGACGAUGGCACAUGCUGUUGUCUUCAAAGGCGCAAGUCGCCACAAGAGGGAUCCGCGGCCGAUUAGCUUGUUGGCGAGGUAAUGGCUCACCAAGGCAUUGAUCGGUAGCCGGACUGAGAGGUUGGCCGGCCACACUGGAACUGAGACACGGUCCAGACUCCUACGGGAGGCAGCAGUGGGGAAUCUUGCACAAUGGACGAAAGUCUGAUGCAGCAACGCCGCGUGGGGGAUGAAGCUUCUCGGAGUGUAAACCCCUUUCGACCCGGAAGAAUGCCCGCAAGGAUAUGACGGUACGGGUAUAAGAAGCCCCGGCUAACUACGUGCCAGCAGCCGCGGUAAUACGUAGGGGGCCAGCGUUGCUCGGAAUUACUGGGCGUAAAGGGUCCGUAGGCGGUGUAGCAAGUCGAUAGUGAAAUCUCUGGGCUUAACCCAGAGGCUGCUAACGAAACUGCUGUGCUAGAGUGUGAGAGAGGCGAGUGGAAUUACGGGUGUAGCGGUGAAAUGCGUAGAUAUCCGUAGGAACAUCCGAGGCGAAGCGGCUCGCUGGAUCACAACUGACGCUGAGGACGAAAGCUAGGGGAGCAAACAGGAUUAGAUACCCUGGUAGUCUAGCCCUAAACAUCAGACUUGGGUUUGCCUGUACGGGCAGUCCCGUAGCUACACGUAGUCUGCGCUGGGGAGUACGUCGCAGCUGAACUCAAGGAUGACGGGGG